GCAUGGCUUGACAAGCGGUGCCAUGUCCACACCCGGGAUCCGAACCUGCGAACCCUGGGCCACCAAAGCAGAGCAAGUGAACUUAAGCAUUACACCACCAGACAAAAAAGAAAAUUGCUUUGAUGGAGUCCAAUUGCUAAGUGGCAGAUUACAGCUUUUCUAUAUUGUUAUGAAAAAUGGGGUUUCCAGAAAUUUCUAUGUUUGUCUUCAAAGAGAGCUGCAGCUUCGUGAUGAAAAGCCCCCUCUAACAUUGGACACGUGUUCUGCUGGAGGCCGCUCUAAAUCAUGGAAGCAAAUCCAUCCAAUGGGAGAAAUCUGCCUUAACAUCCCAGAAACAUUUCCACCUGUAAAUUCUGAGAUCUUAAAAUUAGAAUCUGCCUCCAAUUAUGACUUGACAGUACAUACAAGUUCCAGGAGAGCCCCAGCAAAGCAUGCAAUAACUGCAAUGGUGUAAACUGUACUCUCUCUCAGUCUCUCUUGGAUUUUGCUGCUCCAGGGGAAGCCAGCUGCCAUCCCAUGAGGCAGCGCGGAGGAGAAUGCCGCCAACAGCCAUGUGAGUGAUGUUGGAAGCAGAUUCUCCCAGUUGAGACGUGAGAUGAGAGCAACCCUGGCCGACACCUUGACUGAAGCCUCAUGAAAGACCUUGAAUGAGAACCACCUGGCUAAGCUGCUUCUGAAAUCCUGACCCACAGAAACUACACAAUAAGAAAUGUUAUUGCUUUCAGUUUUUAGGUUUUGGAAUAACUUUGGUAUACAGCAAUAGAUAACUGAAACAUAUCACAACAUAUUACACAUCAGAGACGGGGCUAAGCAAAUGAGAUCAUUUGCUUUUCACAACAACCCCACAAAAUAAGUACUGUUAUUAUCACCCUUUUAUAUAUUAGGAAGCUGAAGUACAAGGAAAUAAAAUAGUCAAGUGUGGCCUAUCUGGCUUAUGAAUGGAGUACCUGGGGAUUUAUCAAAGAAUCUCUAAAUACGGGGUCUAGCACGUAGUAUAUGGUGCUGAAUCUGUGUUGAUUGAUUCAACAUGAUCAUGUCCAAAAAACUGCAAUAAGAGAACAAAAACACAAGUUCUAUUAUUUACGUUCAACCAGAGCAGACAUGAGUUCCCCAUGAAGACUUAAUAUACCUCUUUUAAUGCAGAGUUCACGUGAGGCUUCUGGUUUUCUUCUCUCUAUGAUUAAUGCCUCUAGGAUCACGAUUCCCCACACUCAAGAGGUAAGACAAACCUGGCAGAGAUCCAAUAGUCUCUGUCAUUUACUAUGCCUGUCUGUAGACAUGGGGUCAUGGUCUAAGAGUCGUGAGCUGAAGGCAGCCUUACUUCCUUGACUCCUUAACCUGUUAGUCCCUGCUUGUUCUUCCAAAUUCUGCAUCCUUUAUCUUUCCAUUGUUUGGGACACACAAUUCCCCUUAUAAGUCCAGUCCCUUAGUUCCCAAUCAUGACCUGAGCCAGGGUGCUUUGAGAAAGUUCUGACUCCAUGAACUUGGGCUUAUCAACAUGGUUAGUUGCCAAAGCCCAAGUAAACAUGUGCUAGAGCCUUGUAAUUGGCCUCCACCCAAAUCCCAAGGCUUUCUCUCCAUCUGGUUACUUUUAAUAACGGCUGGAAUCUAAAAAGACAAAAGAAAAAUUCUAUAUCCUCUCUAUUUACACAUUAUUUCUUAAGUUGUGGCCCCAUUUUGGCCAUGCUAGUCCACAUCUAGAAAUAAGAGACCUGUGUUCUGACCUUUUACCAUAUCUUAUGGCCAGGGCACCAGCUUAGUGAUAAAUACUUUUUCACAUUGACAGCCCACCUACUUACCUGCUAAGACUCCCAAACAUAGCCUCCUCAUUGCUGUGUUUUUCCUACAACUGUGUGAUGCUUUACUUCAUCUUAAAUCUCCAUCAUCUUCUACUUGCUUAAACAAUGUUAAUAUAAAACCCCUUGGACACUGUACUGUACCCAACACCAGAACAUUCUUUCAAUCCUGUCUGGAACAAGUAUGUAAGAUGGAUGAUUCUUGGUAUUAAUGUUAUCAUUAGUAAAAAGAAUAUGAAAAUAUUUUGUUUAUUAAAUGCCAGGAACUGUG
This 2067-nucleotide long non-coding RNA is filed under the name Equus caballus (horse). Its description in RNAcentral is "lncRNA (ENSECAG00000047123.1)". The record is from RNAcentral. Lineage: Eukaryota; Metazoa; Chordata; Mammalia; Perissodactyla; Equidae.